AUUGAACGCUGGCGGCAGGCCUAACACAUGCAAGUCGAACGGUAACAGGAAACAGCUUGCUGUUUCGCUGACGAGUGGCGGGCGGGUAAGUCAUGUCUAGGAAACUGCCUGAUGGAGGGGGAUAACUACUGGAAACGGUAGCUACUACCGCAUAACGUCGCAGGAACAGAGAGGGGGACCUUCGGGCCUCUUGCCAUCUGAUGUGCCCAGGUUGGAUUAGCUAGCAGGUGGGGUAACGGCUUACCUAGGCGACGAUCACUAGCUGGUCUGAGAGGAUGACCAGCCACACUGGAACUGAGACACGGUCCAGACUCCUACGGGAGGCAGCAGUGGGGAAUAUUGGACAAUGGGCGCAAGCCUGAUGCAGCAAUGCCGCGUGUAUGAAGAAGGCCUUCGGGUUGUAAAGUACUUUUAGCGGGGAGGAAGGGAGUAAAGUUAAUACCGUCGCGCAUUGACGUUACCCGCAGAAGAAGCACCGGCUAACUACGUG
This 490-nucleotide ribosomal RNA is filed under the name uncultured bacterium. RNAcentral's name for it is "partial 16S ribosomal RNA". It matches the Rfam family "Bacterial small subunit ribosomal RNA", at positions 30 to 507 of the family's 1533-position model. The record is from RNAcentral.